Non-coding RNA from Bemisia tabaci, 1689 nucleotides. The record is from RefSeq and is a predicted model, not a curated record. NCBI's taxonomy places the organism in Eukaryota, Metazoa, Arthropoda, Insecta, Hemiptera, Aleyrodidae.
AUCAUGGCAUCCCAUCUUCACGAUUCGUUCUACCUUCGUAAGGGAUUGGUUCUGACUUUUUUUUCAAGGCCUUGGAAGUGCUUGAAUUCUUCUCUACUGAUAAGAGUCAGCAGUUAAUUUAAAGAAAUAAAGAAACAUUUUUUGAUAUUUCGUUGAAUGUAAGAAAACAUCUUGUUUACAAACGAAAUCGCUGUCUUUCUGAAACGAGAAUCCAAAAUUGUGAACUCAAGCUCUUAUCACAGGGAAAUUACUGUGUUUUUGAAAAAAUUCGGAAAAAAAGUGAAUUGUUGUUCCAGUCAUAAGCCAGUUAAGACUCUGAAGAUCUCAAAAUUGAGGUUUUAACACUACUCUCAGAAAAGUGUUUUUUAAAAAUUCUCGCUGCCAUUAAUGCUCUUAGAUUUUAAACUAAACUUUUUAAUUCAAGAAAUGUAACUGAAGUUCAGGCGAUUCGUGAACUUUUAAUAAGAUUGUGUAUUUUGGCCAUGUGUCUCAUUGUCAGUCCUUCUGUGCUGUUCUUGACUCCAUAGCAAGACAGUUCUAAGUUAAUCAGUAUUUUUUCUCAGGUUUCACAAUUAUUUGAAAUCUGCCAGAUGUAAGUAUUACCACUUAUCUCUACGGUCGCUAAAUAUUUUUUCAUGCCCUUUUAAGACUAUCGUAGGUGAAGAAUCUUAUGGUGCAAACCAGGUAUGGAAAGCAAUGAAACACCAGGGGAUUGCAACAUUAACUGUCCGAAGGGUAACAGUUGAUCUAAGUAUAUGACCAGGGGCUUGAUUCUGUGUUGCUCUCAGGCAAUGUCAUAGGCAUGAGGUUGUCGGAAAAUCGGAAGCUACAUUUCGUUCGUGCGUUAGUUAUUCGCUUGGUUUUUGUCUGUUUUGGUAACUUAAUAAAUUGUAAGAUGCAAAGAUCCAGUUGGACACGAAUAUUAAGUACAUUCCAAUGCGUGGGAGGAGGACAAGCUGGGGCCGUGGGCAUGUAGGACCACCCACCGAAAUAAUUGCUCCACAACCUUCACAGCAACCUCCACUGCAGCCUCUACCACAACCUCCACUGCAACCAGCACCUGCAUCGAUUCCUCCGCAGGAGCCAUGAUGUCUGGUUGCAGGAGAAAUAACAAUCAGUUCCGAAGAGGAGCCGCCAUCCGCAGACAAAUUGAGAACUGAUGCAGUAAAUUAUACGGGAUGCAGCUCUUGCGACAAGCCUGAUAACUAGAUGCUUGAAUCAGGCAGCCUAGAACACAUGUCUUGAAAGAAAAUGCCAACUAUUUUCGUUCCUCAAUGAUUACUUUUAGACGGAAUUGACACUGCUCAAAAUUGUUUUACUUCUCUCUUACUGCCUUUUUUAAACAAUAUAUAUUUUUUUUUAAUUUAAUGGUCAUUUUGUUUACUUGCUAAUUAUAAUAUUCAUUUAUUAGUGUUUAAAAACGUUAGUGAGUUGCUUGUGUAACACUGAUUUUUGUUCCUUUUUUUGGAAACUUGAAUGAAUUUCAUGCGCUCAUGUAAACAAGCUCGUUCUUAGACUAACAGUGCAAAUAUGGCAAAUUUCACCUGAGCCUUUCUUUAGCAAGUUCAACCCAUAUUUUGUACUUGUAUCCCCUUGAAAUAUCAUUACGUUAGCAAGUCAACAGGGAAUUUCUGAUUUUUUGUUUUGUUUUCAAGAACUUAAAUAAAUUUUCUUUUUUCUACUACCUUA